This 120-nucleotide ribosomal RNA is filed under the name Helianthus annuus (common sunflower). RNAcentral also lists the same sequence under 1 other name. Lineage: Eukaryota; Viridiplantae; Streptophyta; Magnoliopsida; Asterales; Asteraceae. The record is from RNAcentral.
GGUUGCGAUCAUACCAGCACUAAUGCACCGGAUCCCAUCAGAACUCCGCAGUUAAGCGUGCUUGGGCGAGAGUAGUACUAGGAUGGGUGACCCCUUGGGAAGUCCUCGUGUUGCAACCCC